Molecule: long non-coding RNA, 1170 nt
Organism: Anguilla rostrata (American eel)
Lineage: Eukaryota; Metazoa; Chordata; Actinopteri; Anguilliformes; Anguillidae
Exons: 2
Source: RefSeq, a predicted model, not a curated record
CUGUAACUGUCAACGAGACUCCAGAAUGACCAGUAUAUUUUCCACCAUAACGGUCGGGCAGGAACUUGAAGCGAUAUAUUGCUGAAUCACUUUCUCUCAGCUGGUUUAUUCUAAAAGUGCAGUCACUGUUCUUAUUCCCCAGGUACUCCACACGGUCAGAGUACUCUGGGUCCUUGGACAGGUCUUCACCCUCCUGUUUACUGUUCCAGUUGUAACCCGUUAGAAAAAAUAGCAACGCUUUAAAAGGGUCCUGUAGCUUUAAGGAAGAGAGGCUCCCUACCUAACGGGUUAGGAGGACUUGUUCUGCAUCCCUCAUUAGUUUUAUUGGCUGUAACAGGUAGUAAUGUCUUAAGAUUAUUCUGGAAAAUAGUUAGCCCCGCCCACUCCCAGGGACUUGGUUGAGACUGUUUGUCGCACAGGAGAGAGUGCACAGCAAGAGGGGAGAACGGGAGAGAGAAAAAGACGAUCAGAAGUAGAAAAUCAUAAUUAUUAAUUUAAGCGGUAAACCUAAAGAGCAGCUCCUUAAAUGACCCAGGGACCAAAUAUUUUCCAGAUCGCACACUUCAAUUUCUUUCCUUGGGAUCUUUUUCCUUGCGUUUACAUGUUAAAGUUUGCUAAAGUAUCUUAACUGUAGCAGCAACACGUGUGCUAUUAACUCCGUGUUCCUUGAAAAUAGCGUUAGCCACACGUGGCAUUUUUCAGUUUGCACACUUCAGUUUCUUCCUUUGGGAUCUCGGCUGGAUUUUUUGGAUACCCUAGAAGAAACCUGUGAACCUAGGAUUCUCUCCCUGACGAGGGAGAUGGCGAGCCGACCAACUUGACCAACUUGAUUCAUCUUCAUCCAUUGAGGAAGAACCCCCUGAUACCCCUUGUUUCUCCCAACUCCACUCCGGUGUGGUAGGAUUGUGAUUGAGAAAUUACAUAAUUUUAUUUGAUACUUUUUUUUAAAAAGGGUGCACCCAACCAACAAAACUGACUUGAAACCAACUAAAUUGAACUAAACCAGACUGAACAGAAGACAUUCAGAACUUAAUGGACAGUGAAUGCAGUUACAACACUCAGGACAUUGAUAUGAAGACAAAUGAAUGUGGUUGAAUGUGAUAAGUAAAUGCUGGCUUUACAUUUUGUCAUUACACUUUCUUUAAUACACUUCUAACCAUUUUGCACUUA